This 3195-nucleotide long non-coding RNA is filed under the name Citrus x clementina. RNAcentral's name for it is "Citrus clementina (C. clementina) long non-coding RNA (CCLE_LNC005329)". The record is from RNAcentral. Lineage: Eukaryota; Viridiplantae; Streptophyta; Magnoliopsida; Sapindales; Rutaceae.
GUGACAAAGGGCUGUUUGGCUUUGGCGGUCCUGGAUAUGGAUCGUGUCCUCAAGGACAGAGCUAUCCUCCAUCGGGAGCAGCUUAUCCGCCACAGAGCUACCCGCCAAGUGGCUACUCAGCUGGGUACCCGCCAAGUGGCUACUCAGCAGGGUACCCGCCAAGUGGCUACUCAUCAGCAGGGUACGCGGCUUAUCCUCAACAAGGCGGGUACCCCGUCACCAGUUACCCUGCCGGCCCAUCCCCUCCAAGUACUGGCUAUUCUCAUCAUGGUGGAUUCGGGGGUUCCUAUGGCACCCACCAUGCGGCUCCCCACGGGCACUACGGUAGCCAUGGAAAGAACAAGGGUGGCUUCGGCCAUGGCCACAGCCACGGCUACGGAGGAGGAAAGUUGAAGAAGUGGAAGUGAAGAUCCGAUUACCUGUACCUUGAAUAAUAUUCAUACAUCUUUAUGAUGUUUGUGUUUAAGUUACUUUUAAACUAUAAGUGCUUUCUGGCUUCUUGUAUCUAAUAAGAAAUGUGCUCUCAAUAAAUAAAUGAAACCCCUGGGGGUCUGUGGAGGAAUGCAUACUUGUCUUCCAUAGUAUUUUCCAGAUUAAUAUACAUAUACGCAUUCUGUGUUUGUCUUUUAAUUAAUCCAUCUCAUUCCUUAGGUGCCAAAAAUCCAAUUCUUAUGAGCAAAAUUUUUUCCAAUAUUUUAUCUGCAAAAAUGAUUAUUAUUUUUAGAUUUUAAAUCCAUUUCAUUAACAAUAUUAAAUCUUUUGAUAAUUUGUUUCUCUAACAAGAAGUAUUGAUUGGUCUCGAUUUCUUUUUCAUUAAUUGAAGUUAAUUUAAUUUUUGGGUAAAUACUCGUUUAAUCAUUAUGUUUUGACUUAAGAACUCAUUUAAUCCCUAUAUUUUAAAAAAAUCCCAAGACACUCCUAAUAUUAAGUAUAUCAUGUUCCUACCCUUAAUUUUUCUUUCAUUUUACAAUAAUCACCUUGUAACAAUAUUCUUAGGGAAAAUAAUGAAAAAAAUGUUAAUUAAAGAAAUAAAAUUUAUGUAAAUUUUAUCUUAUUUAUUUACUUUUAGGAUUAAUUUGGUCAAUUAAAUUUUUAUAUACAAUUAUUAGUAAGACUGUUGCAAAGAUAUUGAACAUUACUUCAAAUAGACUGAUAUUAAUUUAUUUAUAAAUAGUUAUUAGUAAGAUUGUUAUAAAGGUACAAAAAAUACUAGCUCUGUCAUAUUGAUAUCUAUUGAUUAAUUUACUAAAAAAUAAUUAUUGGUCAAUUUGCUAAUUAACUUUUGUUUUAUAGAUAACAUAAUUAAUUUUAAGAAUAUUGUUGGUAGGGUAUUAUUGUAAAAAUAAAAGAAAAAAUAAGAAUAAGAAUGUAACAUAUUUAAUAAUAUUAGUAAAUUGAGAUUUUUUUAAAAUAUAUAAACUAAAUGAAUACUUAAGUCAAAAUAUAUAAGCUAAACAAAUAGUUACCCUUGAUUUUUCAACCAAAACAAAAACUUUCCUUCUAGUUUAGAAAUAACAACUAAUAAUUAUUCUAAUCAAUCUCACUUUAGGAAUAAUCUUGGUAUCAAAUAAUUUCUUUUAUACUUGUGAAAUCAAAACAUCUUUAGCAAAAGGUAACGUUAUCUUGUGAAGUUGGUAUCUCAAAUUUGCAUCACAAAAACCCAAAAAAAAUCACUUUAGUUUAAUAUAUCAAAUAUAGUGAUUCAUUUUAAAAAUAUAUAUAUGCACAAUUGGUCACUGUAAUAAUUAGAAAGUCGAUUUAAUAACAUUAUUGCCGACAAAAAUAUGCGAAAAAAACAAAUUGUAUAUUAAAGAUUUGGUUCACAUUAAUGAGUGCUUCACGAAAUCAAUCUAAAAAAUUAGUUGUCAGAAAAAUUGAAUUAAGUGCUUUGUUUAGUAUGGUUUAUCUAAUAAUUAUAAAUGUUAAUUUAAUCCCCUAAGUUCUUUUCAAAUUUUUUCUUGUUGUUUGGUUUUUUUUUAAUAGAGUUUUUGAAGAUUAAAUAAAUUAUUUUGUUUCUACUAGCAAAAACUUGAAUUUUGAGUUUUUUAAAGUAAAGUUGAGAAACUUUUUUAAAAUAUAAAAAUAUUUAAAAUAUCAUUUCUUUAUUUCAUAAUCUUAUUUCAUUUCUUUAUAAUAUAACUUUAAAUAACUUAUCUAUUAAAAUAAUUUUAUAAUUUUUAAUACAAACUCUCAUUGAUAACCAAACAACUAAUUUUUUUUUUAUAAAAACUCUAUUUAAAUAAACCAUAUUUGAAAAGUUAUAUCAAACGGAACCUAAAAGAGAUUCUUUCAAUUUUUUUUUAAUAUAUCAUAAAGAAUCCUCUAAUUAAAUUUUUUAUUCUUUCUCCAACGAACAAAAUAUUUGGGGCUGAUUGCUCUUGCAAAUUGCAACACAUGUUAAUCCAAAAUAUUCUCUUCACAGUUCACACGCAGGAUCAAAAGUUGAAAAGAUUGCUUAUAAAAAGAAGCGUUUAUAUUAACUUGAGUAUCCUCCCUCGCUACCUUCUUGUUUAGAAUUGUUUCACACACAGCACAAGGGUAGCUUUCUAUAUAUCAUCAGAAAAUUAACAUGGGAGACAGGAGGCACUUCUCAUACGGAGCUCCAGGUUAUGGAUAUCCUCCUCCGGCACAGUACUAUCCUCCUCCACCAGGAGCAGCUUAUCCGCCGCAAGGUUACCCUCCGCAGGGAUAUGGAUAUUCUCCAGUUGCCGGGUACCCGCCAUCUGGUUACAGUACCGGCCUGUAUGCUCCACCUCAUCAUUCAGGUUUGAAUCUGCAGAUAUAUUUUGAUUUGAAUGUUAAUUCGCGUUAUUGUUUAUUAAUUUCUGAAGCUGUUGACUUAUUUAUACAUUUAUGGUACGUUUUUAUAUUAGGAUAUGGUGGCGUAGGGGGACUGUUAGCCGGGGCUGCUUCUGCUUAUGGUACUCACCACAUGUCACACCAUGGGUACGGCGGGCACCAUCACGGCAAGUUCAAGCAUGGAAAGAACUACGGUGGCUUCAGGCAUGGAAAGCAUGGAGGAAAGAAGUGGAAGUAAACUUCUAAAUUUGUACCAAUUCAACCUAUCGCUACAAACGCUUCCCUAUUAAUUCCUCUUGGAUUGAAUAAUCCAUAUACAUUUAUAUGUGUAUGAUGGCUGUGUCUAUUAAGUGCCUUCUGGCAUAUGUUGUAUUUUUCUAAAUAAGAUCAUCCGGG